This 793-nucleotide ribosomal RNA is filed under the name uncultured bacterium. RNAcentral's name for it is "bacterial SSU rRNA". It matches the Rfam family "Bacterial small subunit ribosomal RNA", at positions 8 to 796 of the family's 1533-position model. The record is from RNAcentral.
AGAGUUUGAUCAUGGCUCAGGAUGAACGCUAGCGGCAGGCUUAAUACAUGCAAGUCGUGGGGCAGCACAGGUAGCAAUACUGGGUGGCGACCGGCAAACGGGUGCGGAACACGUACGCAACCUUCCUUUAAGCGGGGAAUAGCCCAGGGAAACUUGGAUUAAUACCCCAUAAAACAAUCGGGUGGCAUCACUUGGUUGUUAAAGCUCCGGCACUUAAAGAUGGGCGUGCGGCUGAUUAGGUAGUUGGCGGGGUAACGGCCCACCAAGCCGACGAUCAGUAACUGGUGUGAGAGCACGACCAGUCACACGGGCACUGAGACACGGGCCCGACUCCUACGGGAGGCAGCAGUAAGGAAUAUUGGUCAAUGGACGCAAGUCUGAACCAGCCAUGCCGCGUGGAGGAUGAAGGCCCUCUGGGUUGUAAACUUCUUUUAUUGGGGAAGAAACCGGUUCUUUCUAGAGCCGUUGACGGUACCCAUUGAAUAAGCACCGGCUAACUCCGUGCCAGCAGCCGCGGUAAUACGGAGGGUGCAAGCGUUAUCCGGAUUCACUGGGUUUAAAGGGUGCGUAGGUGGGCAGGUAAGUCAGUGGUGAAAUCUCUAAGCUUAACUUAGAAACUGCCGUUGAUACUAUCUGUCUUGAAUGUAGUGGAGGUGAGCGGAAUAUGUCAUGUAGCGGUGAAAUGCUUAGAUAUGACAUAGAACACCCAUUGCGAAGGCAGCUCGCUACACUACUAUUGACACUGAGGCACGAAAGCGUGGGGAUCAAACAGGAUUAGAUACCCUAGUAGUCC